GAUGAACGCUGGCGGCGUGCCUAAUACAUGCAAGUCGAGCGAACGGACGAGAAGCUUGCUUCUCUGAUGUUAGCGGCGGACGGGUGAGUAACACGUGGAUAACCUACCUAUAAGACUGGGAUAACUUCGGGAAACCGGAGCUAAUACCGGAUGAUAUUUUGAACCGCAUGGUUCAAAAGUGAAAGACGGUCUUGCUGUCACUUAUAUAUGGAUCCGCGCUGCAUUAGCUAGUUGGUAAGGUAACGGCUUACCAAGGCAACGAUGCAUAGCCGACCUGAGAGGGUGAUCGGCCACACUGGAACUGAGACACGGUCCAGACUCCUACGGGAGGCAGCAGUAGGGAAUCUUCCGCAAUGGGCGAAAGCCUGACGGAGCAACGCCGCGUGAGUGAUGAAGGUCUUCGGAUCGUAAAACUCUGUUAUUAGGGAAGAACAUAUGUGUAAGUAACUGUGCACAUCUUGACGGUACCUAAUCAGAAAGCCACGGCUAACUACGUG
RNAcentral lists this ribosomal RNA (497 nucleotides) under uncultured bacterium. Its description in RNAcentral is "partial 16S ribosomal RNA". It matches the Rfam family "Bacterial small subunit ribosomal RNA", at positions 28 to 507 of the family's 1533-position model. The record is from RNAcentral.